UAAACGAUGUCUACUUGAAGGUUGUGGCCUUGAGCCGUGGCUUUCGGAGCUAACGCGUUAAGUAGACCGCCUGGGGAGUACGGUCGCAAGAUUAAAACUCAAAUGAAUUGACGGGGGCCCGCACAAGCGGUGGAGCAUGUGGUUUAAUUCGAUGCAACGCGAAGAACCUUACCUACUCUUGACAUCCAGAGAAUUCGCUAGAGAUAGCUUAGUGCCUUCGGGAACUCUGAGACAGGUGCUGCAUGGCUGUCGUCAGCUCGUGUUGUGAAAUGUUGGGUUAAGUCCCGCAACGAGCGCAACCCUUAUCCUUGUUUGCCAGCACGUAAUGGUGGGAACUCCAGGGAGACUGCCGGUGAUAAACCGGAGGAAGGUGGGGACGACGUCAAGUCAUCAUGGCCCUUACGAGUAGGGCUACACACGUGCUACAAUGGCGUAUACAGAGGGCUGCCAACCAGCGAUGGUGAGCGAAUCCCACAAAGUACGUCG
RNAcentral lists this ribosomal RNA (486 nucleotides) under uncultured bacterium. RNAcentral's name for it is "bacterial SSU rRNA". It matches the Rfam family "Bacterial small subunit ribosomal RNA", at positions 803 to 1288 of the family's 1533-position model. The record is from RNAcentral.